UAAAGAUUUGACGAUGGAGUCUUCAAUGAGAGAAGAAGCCUUACUAAUCCGGAAUAACAUGAAGGAUAGGGAAGAGAGCUUCCUGCAAGACUGUCAAUGGUCAGAUGACAAUUUGUGGAGAAUUGUGAUAUGUACAGAUACCCGGAAGACGCACACCGAAGUUGGGGAUACACGAAAUUAAUUAAUCUAAAUUGUUGCUAGCACAUAUACUAGCCGGCUUUA
Zophobas morio is the source of this 222-nucleotide long non-coding RNA. RefSeq lists it as uncharacterized. The transcript has 3 exons. The record is from RefSeq and is a predicted model, not a curated record. NCBI's taxonomy places the organism in Eukaryota, Metazoa, Arthropoda, Insecta, Coleoptera, Tenebrionidae.